Long non-coding RNA from Papaver somniferum (opium poppy), 2589 nucleotides. RefSeq lists it as uncharacterized. The record is from RefSeq and is a predicted model, not a curated record. Lineage: Eukaryota; Viridiplantae; Streptophyta; Magnoliopsida; Ranunculales; Papaveraceae. The transcript is spliced from 5 exons.
UUCUUGAUCUUUUCAGCUCAUUCCGGUGUUCAUUCACUUCUCUAAUUCUAUCUUAUGCUUUCGCUUCUUUUGUUUGAUCAAUGAUCCGUUUGUUUGUGUUUGAUUUAUCAUUAGAAAAAUUCUCCACUAAACGAAGCUAAUUUUCCUAACCCUAAUUGCAUCUCUUAAAACCAAAACUAACUCCGCCUGCUCCUGAUAUUUUUACAUGCUGGUAAUAGCGGUUUUGUAUUCCUCUAAUCCCACGGUUUAGACGAUGCAGAUGGAGAUUGGUGUUUGUUCAUACCAUCAUGCACAAUAAAUGCUAUUAGCUUGGUAUCAAUGUUCCAAAUAUGAUCAGGCAACAAUCUAGAUUUUACUCACAAAGUCAGUGAAUGUUCCAAAUAGACCAUUUACCUAUGUAUUUAGAGUGUGCGAAAGGGGUACGUAAGACGCUUGAUAAAACAUCUAUUAUAUGUCAAGAGUUGUUUUAUUUUUUGGAAAACAGGGCCAUCUUUGUUUAUCUGUAAUUGUUCAUCUGUUCAUCUAACAAAUGCGAUUUAACAAGUUUUGGUAUUAAAUGCUUUUCAAUGGCUAAGGUUUUAGUAUAAAAUCCAUUUUACAACUCUAACUGUAGACUGAUGUUCAUCUUAAGAGAACUUUUGUCAAAGCAUCAUUUGUGCUCGAUGAUUGUUUAUCGUUGUCUAUGAGUUUUUACCUUUAUCUAUAUUUAUCUAUCUAUACUUGAAUCUCUGCCCCUAAUCUUUGCUGCAUAACCUGUGGAUGUCAUAGUGCACUAUGUAAGCAUUCCUAUUCGUGCCAAAACAGAACAAAGCCUUUACUUAUUUGAUGUGGCUUAUUUGUGAUUUAUUGUGUUAACUUUACAAUGGGGUUUUAUUUUCAUGAUUACAGGAAAGGGCAGAUAAGGCUCAACCCCCAAACCUACGAAUAUGUUAGCCUUACUAGGUUAACUGUGUAGAAAUUUGCCAAUGAUUUUCUCCCAAACGAUGCAGGAGCAUAAGAAUGAAAGUCACCCUUUGAGAGACGUCUUACUGCGUGCAGACUAUAACGUUAAAGAGUUGAUCGAGUGUAUUUGAGCACGCCUACAAAGAUUUCCAUCAUAGACCAUGAGAAGAGAAGAACCUUUGUACUGGGAAAAGAAAACAUGCCUGAUGCAGGUUCAUUUAAUCUAAUUGGUUGGCACCAUUAUAUCUUUUCUGAGUUUAGGGUCUAAAUGGUGAUUGGUCCAUUCUCCGCUUUUUAAAUCUUUGGCAUUGCAGUUUCUGUAACUAAAACGCCUUGUCAAUGGGUUUGGACAACGAUUUAUUUUUUGAUUUUUUCUGCUACUUUAUUCUUAUACUUUUGGUUUUCAUGAAGUUGGAACCAUUGGUUCACUAGAAGAGAAAACAAGGAGAUGGGUUUGCUGUUGAUGUUGGUUUGAUUUGGUGGUUGUGAAAUUUGAGUUGUAGUGGCGACUGAAGCUGAUUAUGGUUGUCCCAGGAAGUGGUGCAGAUGGUUUGGUGAUGUGUCUGCUGCUACGGUGAAGGUUACCGAGGCUGACAAUGAAAAUAGAAGAAUUCUUUGGAUUACAUCAAUCGAAGAAUGAAGUUGAUACCGUGAUUAGGAUGGUUUGAUUAAUAUUUGGUUAUUUCUUUGGAUUUCUACAGUGGUUAUAGGAUGGUUUGAUUAAUGUUUGAUUAAUGCUUUGGAUUUUCGAACACUAAAAUAUUGUUUCUCCUCUAAAAAUUUUGCUGUCUUUGAUUACUUCACUGAUGUAAUUCCCUUUGAUGAUUGCAAAUAGUUCUUCUCUUUGUAUUACUAAUUUUGUGAGUGCUUUUUGGUAUGAAGCCAUGUGUAUCAAUAUAUAUAUAAAUGUAUGGCAAGGAAACAGAUGUACAGCGUGGACUGUAAGAUGACUUCGACAAGAAUAGGUAUUUGCCUACUUGGAGCUACAAAAAUGAUGUUUAUUCUUCUCUGGUGUCGAAUUUGCUGGGACACCAGGAGUCAACUUAUCGAGCUUUAAUUGUUUCUGGAAAUGCCAAGCAUCAAAUCAUCACAAAUUGGCACUUUGUGCUACCAUCGAUCACUGAGGUUAAGAUUCAGGGGUUGACUUUGUCAUUUUCUUUUCUAUGAUGGUAAGUCUUAGGUUAUCUACUACAAGUCUGCGACCUAAAAUAGACGACAGGUGACCUGGAGCAUGCUCCACAACCUACUUAACAAUGCUUCAGCUCAUUACCCAGGCUGUAGGACUUACAUGCAUCUUUGAUCCUGAAAUUUAAAUGGAAUCUCUUCUUGCCGAUUUGAAGGGGUUUUAACUCUCCUAUACGGAAGGCUUUGACAUCCUAAAAGUACUCGCAACUAGGAGUUGGAGAAAAAACCUCUGGAUGAUGUGAAAGUUCAUAGAUCUGAUCUGGAUUUUGUCGACCUUAUAUGUUUGCUUGACAUAUUUUGUCGAUCCAGAUUUGAUAUAUCAGCUACGGCCUUAAAGGUUCCAAGUAUACCGGCUGUUAGAACCCCUUUGACACCCAUAGUAAUUAUUAGAUAGCAAUUGGUACAUUAAAAAAUUACUAUAUAACUCAGCAUACAAAGAUUAUGUGAGAACAGUUCAAUGCA